RNAcentral lists this ribosomal RNA (253 nucleotides) under uncultured bacterium. Its description in RNAcentral is "partial 16S ribosomal RNA". It matches the Rfam family "Bacterial small subunit ribosomal RNA", at positions 524 to 776 of the family's 1533-position model. The record is from RNAcentral.
CACGUAGGGCGCGAGCGUUGUCCGGAAUUAUUGGGCGUAAAGAGCUCGUAGGCGGCCUGUUGCGUCCGCUGUGAAAACCCGGGGCUCAACCCCGGGCCUGCAUUCGAUACGGGCAGACUAGAGUUCGGUAGGGGAGUCUGGAAUUCCUGGUGUAGCGGUGAAAUGCGCAGAUAUCAGGAGGAACACCGGUGGCGAAGGCGGGACUCUGGGCCGAUACUGACGCUGAGGAGCGAAAGCGUGGGGAGCAAACAGG